This 1574-nucleotide long non-coding RNA is filed under the name Orbicella faveolata. RNAcentral describes it as "uncharacterized LOC110062859". The record is from RNAcentral. Lineage: Eukaryota; Metazoa; Cnidaria; Anthozoa; Scleractinia; Merulinidae.
UAAACCUUUUGUUUAGCGACGUUGCCGUUGCCGUCGUGGUUUUCUUAAACCCACUAGUGAGUCGAGUCAGUGAUUAAUAUUUCCUUGUUGUGUGUCAUCCAUGUGCCGUCCAUUAGCACAAGGAUUAUUCCUUUGGCUAGUCCUACUUGACACGUACUUUUUUUUAAUUUUAAAUUAUUUAAUAUUUUCCAUCUCACAGCUGGAAUUCCAAAAUAGUAUCGAAAGAUCAGAUCCAGAUUUCAGACGCCUUCUCAAUCCUAGCACCAUGCAGAGUGCUCCGUAUGACUGCUUCGUCAAUCCUCAGGCGAUACACAAGGUUCGUUUCAACCCCAACAAACAAUCGUUCACGUGGCUUGCCACCGGUGGAGGGGCUGGCCUGGUAAGACUACAUUUAGUUAAAGAGGUCAAACCGUGAGAAGACGGUCAAGGCUGGGUUACAAAGAGCAUUUUUCGGUGCCGUUAUAAAGGAGUAAGAACGAAAUGGGGCUUUGAAGCAAGAAGGUUUUUGUUCUGAGCGUCAGCGAAGUCAACGAGAUUUUACUUGCUCAAAUCAAUAAAGGUGAUGGUAACGCGAUUAGCUUUUCAGAGAAAACAAUAGUUGCAAAUUGAAUAUGCGAAAAAGUGGCGAUUGAAAAAGAGAAAAAGGGAGAUUAUCAAUAAACAUUUCUCCCUUCUUCAUAUUGUGAUAAAAGACGAGGACAUUGUGGUCGACAUAAAAAGGUCCCGGUUCACAAACAGAACGAUCAGAAGGGAGGGGAAGGUAAAGAAACCGAACGUGUACUAGCAAAAAUGGUGAAAUUUUUGAAGAAAUUCUUGAACUUCUCCUUAGUCUGUGGCUUACACUUUGAAAAGUCUACUCCUUAGAAUAUUCCUUAGAAAAUUUCAAAAGAAAAGUGAAUUAGUUUUAACUUAAACGAAAUUAUAAAUGCCCAAGUCUUUCUUUUCGGCUUAUCAUGUAGGAAGAUGAAACAUUUCAGGUCAUUCCUUCAUCUAGUUACUUGCAAAGUAAUUAAUGGUACAUAAGUCGAAAAGGCUUGUUAAAGUGAGCUCUAUUUAUUGAAUUAUCUUUAUGAAGCCCAAUGAAGUAGGGUCUUCAUAAAUCCUUUUUUUUCGGAGGUACUUGAUAAUAAUUAUCAGUCGUAUCUUUAAGAAACUCGGUUCUUUUGAGCUUGAUCUUGCGCGGUGUGUUAUCUUCUCUUCGACACUUCUACGAAAGUAAGAUACUGUUAACUGGGAAAAGUCCAGUUCGCGGAUAGGGUAUAUAUAUUUUUCUUUUAUCUUCGAGGCACAAUGCGACCAAUCACUCAACGUGCAAAAUAUGCGCCUAAUAGUGAUUGAUGUCAUUAACUACGGCCGCUGCGUCUUCAAAGUUGCACUGAGUUGUACCGUGCCCUACAUGCGGUUUUACUUAACCGCCUGGCCCAGUUCUAAGCUCUUGAGCUUCUUGUUUUCAGUGUAUAGCUGUUGCACGAUUUUAGGACGAUUGUUUCAUUAUUUAUUCCUAUGUAACUUAUUUUUACAGGCUUUUGUCUGGAACUUAUUAAAAAAGAAUAUUAAAUGCAUUCUUGAAAUAA